This 609-nucleotide ribosomal RNA is filed under the name uncultured fungus. Its description in RNAcentral is "eukaryotic LSU rRNA". It matches the Rfam family "Eukaryotic large subunit ribosomal RNA", at positions 23 to 673 of the family's 3401-position model. Lineage: Eukaryota; Fungi. The record is from RNAcentral.
ACCCGCUGAACUUAAGCAUAUCAAUAAGCGGAGGAAAAGAAACCAACAGGGAUUGCCUUAGUAACGGCGAGUGAAGCGGCAAAAGCUCAAAUUUGAAAUCGGCCCCCAGGUCGAGUUGUAAUUUGUAGAUUGUAUCUUGAGAGCGGAUUAAAGUCUGUUGGAACACAGCGCCUUAGAGGGUGACAGCCCCGUAAAAUCUAUUCUCAUUGUAAGAUACUUUCGAAGAGUCGAGUUGUUUGGGAAUGCAGCUCUAAGUGGGAGGUAAAUUCCUUCUAAAGCUAAAUAUUGACGAGAGACCGAUAGCGAACAAGUACUGUGAAGGAAAGAUGAAAAGCACUUUGAAAAGAGAGUGAAAAAGUCCGUGAAAUUGUUAAAAGGGAAGGGUAUUGAAUCAGACUUGGUGCUGUUGUUCAACUGUGUUUCGGCAUAGUGUACUCAGCAGUACUAGGCCAAGGUGGGGUGUUUGGGAGUGAAAAAGAAGUUGGAACGUAACUCUUCGGAGUGUUAUAGCCUACUUUCAUAGCUCCUCAGGCGCCUCAGGACUGCGCUUCGGCAAGGACCUUGGCAUAAUGAUUCUAUACCGCCCGUCUUGAAACACGGACCAAGGAG